GAUUUCAAGACUGGACUCCAAUCUGCAUUUCCUGUGACUCCCCUUUACAGACCCUAAGCUCCAGCCUUAUGUAAUUACCUUAAAUUCCUGAGUGUACCUCGUUUCUUUCAUACCACUGUGACUUUGCCCAUAGAUUCAGUGAUUUUUCAGACUACAAAUUCCACGGUUUUACUUGCCUGUCUGGUCCCACCUACUUCUCUAGCAACACCUUAGGCUGUUUCCAUCCCAUCCCCAUUGUUUACUGUUUAUGGUCCAAACUGUGCUCACAUUCAUACAUAGCUGAUUACCCCCUUGGGGGUGUUAGUUAUGGAUUAUCUUUGUCUGUUCAUGCUCCUCCUUUUUUUAAUAUUCUGCUUAGAACAGUACCUUCUCUAUCAUCCUACAAGCUUUAACUUUAAAAUGUCACUUCCUCAGGAAAUAUUUCUACUUCCUCCUUUCCUUUACCCCAAAUUAAAUC
RNAcentral lists this long non-coding RNA (457 nucleotides) under Marmota monax (woodchuck). Lineage: Eukaryota; Metazoa; Chordata; Mammalia; Rodentia; Sciuridae. The record is from RNAcentral.